Scatophagus argus is the source of this 792-nucleotide long non-coding RNA. RefSeq lists it as uncharacterized. The record is from RefSeq and is a predicted model, not a curated record. NCBI's taxonomy places the organism in Eukaryota, Metazoa, Chordata, Actinopteri, Scatophagidae. The transcript is spliced from 3 exons.
CACCUCUACAGGGCGGGGGAGGAGGAGGAGGAGGAGGAGGUGAAGAGGUUAAACACAGCAGUGUGGGAGAGAACAGUAACGGGUGUUUGUCAAACAGAAACUCUGAAUACAAAGACAUGUUAAACCAAGAAGCUGCAGGCCAACAGAUGAAGCUGCAGCUGGUACACACUCCACCCUCUGUCUACCACAGCUUCCUCCAUCAUUUCUCUUUCCUUAUCUCCACCCCCUCUUUCUGUCUGUCUUUCUGUCCUCCCUCCUGUCUGAUCCAUCAGAUCUUAAGAGGCUCUCUGUGAUGGAGGACGGAGUGGAGCCAGGAAAUGCUCCUCCCUGAAGUCUCUCCGUGCUCAUCAGUCUUUGUCCGAUUUAAUGACACGGUCAAACUUCAUGGCAGACAAAAGUAAAGUUCAACACUUUUGGACAAAUGGGAUAUCAGGAAAUACGAGAAGGCAGCGCUGAGGGCAGCCGUACCUGCGAGCGGCUGACCGUUGAUGCUCCAGGUGACGAUGGGCGUCGGGAUGCCUUCAGCCUGACAGUCCAGUCGCACAGUUUCCCCGGGAGAGUACAGCAGGUUGGCAGGCUCCUUCACCCAGUACGGAGCCGCUACAAACCGACGACAACAUUUACUGCUGCAGCCACGCAACAGCCAAACGUAUGCACAGCCCACCUUCCACAGCGACCGUGAAGGAGUGUGUGGCCGACCCGUGGCUGUUGAAGGCCCUACACUCGUACUCGCCGUCAUCUUCCAGGGUGAUGCUGUCAAAGUGGAGCCAGCGGUUGUGGUUUUCGGGUUUG